GCUCUGGCAGUGCUGGAAUGAGGGGCUCUGGCGACCUCUGGACAGAGAAGCUCUGGCGCCUCUGGACUGAGGAGCGGGAGCUCUGGCAGCGCCGGACAGGCGGGAACACCUGUGUUGAUGGGACGGAGAGACAGUCUGGUGCAGGGUGCCGGCACUGGUGGUACCGGGCUGGGGACACACACCUCAGGGCGAAUGCCUUGCAUACUACGCCAAAUCAACUACGGCAAAUCAACUCUUCACACUCCCCCAAUUCUAUUAACACCUCCUCGAGUGUCUCCUCAUCUCCCAUCCGUUCACUCUCCUCCAUUCUGUUCAAUAACUCCUCGACCCUCUCAGACUCAGCCCUCAGCUUCGCCGACAGCUCCGAUAACAUCCAUGGCUCCUUACGGUAAACAGGGGGAGUUGGCUCAGGUCUGGCUCCUGACUCUGCCACACUCUCCUUGUCCGACUCGAGUGAAAUCAUCGUUAAUAUCAUUCAUAUCAAUAUCAUCUUUGUCUAAAUGUAUGUAUUUAUUUCAGAUAAAUGUUUUCUUCCUUCCGCAACCCCAGCCACUGCAAUAACAAUAAUUUAUUCUAUAUUUGUUUUGAAUAAGGAGUUGUCGGAUAACUCCUGCAUUGAUUGAGGCUAGACAGUAGAUUUGUAAUCUUAUUCGUCACCGAAACUAUAUUGAACAAAAAUCAGUAUCUGGUGUGACCACCAUUUGUCUUAUGUAUCGCUACACAUCUACUUUGCUUAGAGUUAAUCCGGCUGUUGAUUGUGGCCUGUGGAAUUGACAUCCCUCUCCUCUUUUCAAUGGCUGUGCGAAGUUGCUGGAUAUUGGCGGGAACUGGAACACGCUGUCGUACACGUCGUUCCAGAUCAUCCCACCUUGUGGAGUCCAUUCCCCGACAAAUUGAGACUGUUCUGAGGGCAAAAGGGGGUACAACUUAAUAUUAAAGUGUUGUUUUAUAUACUUUUGUACACAAAAUACUGUAUAUAGUUAUAGAUAGGCUAGACUGCAUUGUCUGCAUAAUAGUGAUUUGUGAAGAUUGUAGCUAUAGCCUACCAGAUUCCUUCAUUUCUUUCCACCAACAGGAAAUAAUGGUUAGUACAGCAUGCCAAACUGACCCCUGGGUGUCAGAGUGUUCCUGUGCUGCGGUGGGGAAGAGUUUCACCGGAGCCAUUACUAAAGAGCUCGAGGCCUAGCUAAAUUGCGCUCACCAUAAUCAGUAUACAACCGAGUCCCGCCACAGAUCGAGUUGACAGAGAGAGCGAGUGAGAUGAGGGAAGACCAGGAUUCGCUGUAUGAAACUGAGAGCUCAGAAUUACAAUCAUCACAGUGCGAGCGAGCCAUGAGAUACUAUCGAAGAGUAUGUGCAAGAUCCGAAAUAUAGCAUGCUGAAGGGGUUGUUCAUGAGCCAGGAUGUCGAGCAGGUGUCAUCAGUUCAUCCCUGAAAAUAAAUGUUUUUUUUCUCCAUCACCAUGGAGACCAUCGAGUGUGUUGUGGACCACAGGAGGAAGUUGGAAGUCCCAGACCAGAGUGGGAAAUGUUUGCAGGGAAUCUGUUGGUGCCAUCACCGGUCUUCCUAACUGACGGCUCCCACUCCACAUUUGUAGAAACAUGUUGCCUCCUCAGCCUGGUGUCCAUGUCGCUGCGACAGUUUGCAAACCAACCUUGCAUCUACAUUGUGCCAGAGGUUAAACAUGUGGGCCCAGCAAACAGAGGCGAUUCUGGCUCGAAUUGGUGACAGUCCACUGAUUGUAUCUGGAGAUGCACGGCGUGAUUCGCCAGGCCACUGUGCCUUCUUUGGCACUUACACCGUCCUGGACUCUGCUUCCCACCUGAUCCUGCCCAGGAGACUUUGCAUGUGACUGAAUUGAAGAAUGGCUACUGGUUGGACAGAGGGACAGAGAGAUUAGUGAGGUGCCUGCAAACACAUGAUUUAUUUGAUUAACCAUUGAGAUAGAACUCUUUUACAAGAGAGCCCUGUGUAUGUUUACAAAUAAAGCACAGUACACAUACAUAAAACACAACAGCCCAACAAAACGCACUAUAGUAAAACACAUAAUACACAACAUUAAACCUAUUUAAGAAAAGCAAUCGCAAUGCUGAAACAUAAAAGUUAUUUUAAAAUCCUUUUGAGGUAAGCUAUAGCCUCACCUACAUUUUGUAGCUAGCCUCAGGGUUGUAAGUGUGCAUUUGGUGAAUGUACGAAGAUCACUUAGGUCACUUUUUUAGUAAUAAUGCUUUUAUUAUUUUCCUUAACUGGCCCAUGAAUGCAGCAUUGAAACCCUGGCCACUGACAGGUAUCCACACGUGACGGUGCACUUGAGGGCAUGAGCUUUGGCACAUUGCCAAAGGUGCGAGGAAGAAGCUAGUGGCCACCAGGAAGCCAGAGGUACUGCCAUGGAAGAGGGCAUUAAACACACCACUUGUGGUACUGUGAUGCCACUGUUGGUGGGAGUGUCCAGGUGCUGAAAGAAAUGUGGAUCACCACAGUUCGCCCCGUUACAAAUGAGCACCAGUGAGUCACUGGAGAUACACUCGACUGCUGUGAGCACCCCCACCCUUCACACCUGAAGAAGGAACACAUCCUCAACCCGAGAUUGUUGAAGGAUCUCGAAAGUGACAAAGUGUGUUCAGACAGGUGAACUUGAGAGUGUACAUGCCCUGUACACUAAAUACGUGCCCAGGAGGAACACGUUCGGCCUACAGGGGAUGUCGCAAGACUCCAAGUGGCUGCCUUAGACCACAAUCAUUCGGUGGACAGACAUCAGGCUACAACACAUGAGGGAGUACUCCGUUUCAAGCAAGAGUUCUCCAAGCAUGCCAGGGCGUUUGUGGUGAAACCCAUCAAGGGGGAGAAGACAUGGUGUUUCAGGUCUGAGCUUCUAGACUGCUUCGUUGACCGCAGUGCCAAUGGACCAUCCCAGCGGACUCUCCUGGGUGCCCAAAGAGAGAGAGUGGCGGUCACCUUGGGAAAGCGGACUGAUGUUCCGAAAAUGGAGAAGGAGCAGGCCAUAUAACAGCGAAUUCAAAGAUACACCCAUCCAUAGAGGGAAUCGGAGUGGAAUGGCUUUUCCACAGAUUCUUUUGACCUGUUAAACAGAUGUGCUUCCUUGUCUCGGACCUGCUGUCUCGACUCUCUCCCGGACCUGCUGUCUCGACUCUCUCUCCCGGAACUGCUGUCUCGACUCUCUCUCCCGGAACUGCUGUUUCGACUCUCUCUCCCGGACCUGCUGUUUCGACUCUCUCUCCCGGACCUGCUGUCUCGACUCUCUCUCCCGGACCUGCUGUUUCGACUCUCUCUCCCGGACCUGCUGUUUUGACUCUCUCUCCCGGACCUGCUGUCUCGACUCUCUCUCCCGGACCUGCUGUCUCGACUCUCUCUCCCGGACCUGCUGUUUUGACUCUCUCUCCCGGACCUGCUGUCUCGACUCUCUCUCCCGGACCUGCUGUCUCGACUCUCUCUCCCGGACCUGCUGUCUCGACUCUCUCUCCCGGACCUGCUGUCUCGACCUCUGAAUACUCGGCUAUGAAAAGCCAGCUGUCAUUUGCUCCUGAGGUGUUGAACUGUUGCACCCUCUAUAACCAUUGUGGUUGUUAUUAUAUUGAUGUAAAAGGGGCUUUUUUUAUAGUAUCUGUAACAUAUUUUGGUGUGUAUUUAAUCUGCAACUUCAUUUCCUAAAGGGGCAAUCAGCAGUAGAAACAAUAACAAAGUGUUCUCCAUGCCCCUGAUUGGGUAAAAAGCUCUGGGGCUGGAGAAAUGUAACCACUCUAAAAUGCAUAGACAGAGCAAUCAGUGGAAGGACUGGCCACCCAUGAUAUCAAAGUUAUAGUUUUUAACCAUGUUUUGGGGCUAUAUUGUGUUUGUUUAAAUGUUUUUAUUUUAUUUUUUACAAACGUUGGAGUAAAACAAGCUUAUAUUUUGGAUUCUGAUGGGGUACGACAGUUGAACUAAGCUCAUGAGACAUUUAUAAGUCAUAUUCUUCAAGAGUCAAUGGGUACAUGUCAUUAAUUUAUAACUACAAAAAUGUAUGUAGCAAUUGCUCUUUGCUCCUUUUAGGUAAGCUACUGUUGUACGUGUCUAUUGAGCUUGUGCACGAGGCAAAGCCUUGCAACCACAGCCUUUCACAGCCUUUCCUGUGAAUCCUCUUCUUGUUACAUUGGAACUUGUAAAAACAAUGUAAUAACCCUGCAACUUACUAUGCAUUGUAAUCCUCUUUCUCUGAUCUGUUUCCACUACCAUGUACCCAGUUCGCUUUGGAUAAAAGCAUCUGCUAAUGUUAUUAGUCUUCUUUGAGUCU
Molecule: long non-coding RNA, 4288 nt
Organism: Oncorhynchus gorbuscha (pink salmon)
Lineage: Eukaryota; Metazoa; Chordata; Actinopteri; Salmoniformes; Salmonidae
Exons: 4
Source: RefSeq, a predicted model, not a curated record